This is a long non-coding RNA of Saimiri boliviensis boliviensis (Bolivian squirrel monkey), 511 nucleotides long. RefSeq lists it as uncharacterized. Lineage: Eukaryota; Metazoa; Chordata; Mammalia; Primates; Cebidae. The record is from RefSeq and is a predicted model, not a curated record.
UCAGGCUUCGGUAAGGUCGUGUCAGCUGACUUGGCUUAUGGUAACCGAAUUUUUCACCUCCAUGGUUUCCCCAGGAUAUGAAUUGGGGGCUUAACCUCACCGACAAGGGUCAGGUGAGCUUUCUGGAUGCCGAGGCACCUUUCAGCCUGCGCCGCCUGAGGAGCUCGUCCCACUGCCCUGCCAUUUCUGUGAGGACCCACAAAGCCCGGGAGGAGCCUCGGAGCCCCCGCGGGUCCUCCCGCCACUGCCUAGAGAGGGUGCUCGGAGCACUGCUCAGGAACUGGUCCCCAGCGAGGUGUCGAACCCCUCCUUGCUGGAACUCCACGGAGAGAGUGAUUCUCUGCAGGACCCAUAUCCUGGAUGUGGACACCCACAGUCCUGCUAGGACGUGCUUCCAGAAGAAUUGAUCCCAGCCAUGAAACUGCCGGAUGCCUUCAGUGAAGCAAGCAGGAAAGGCUCAAGUGAUCCUCCUGUAUCACUCUUAGACGGGUUUCGUCAUGUUGCCCAGGCU